GAUGAACGCUAGCGAUAGGCCUAACACAUGCAAGUCGAGGGGCAGCAUAGAGUAGCAAUACUUUGAUGGCGACCGGCGCACGGGUGAGUAACACGUAUGCAACCUACCUACAUCAGGGGAAUAACCCGGAGAAAUUCAGACUAAUACCGCAUAAUACAGGGAUGCCGCAUGGCAAUAUUUGUUAAAGAUUUAUCGGAUGUAGAUGGGCAUGCGUUCCAUUAGCUUGUUGGUGAGGUAACGGCUCACCAAGGCAACGAUGGAUAGGGGAACUGAGAGGUUUGUCCCCCACACUGGAACUGAGACACGGCCCAGACUCCUACGGGAGGCAGCAGUGAAGAAUAUUGGUCAAUGGACGAGAGUCUGAACCAGCCAAAUCGCGUGAAGGAAGACUGCCCUACGGGUUGUAAACUUCUUUUGUACAGGAAUAAAAGACAUUACGUGUAAUGUAUUGCAUGUACUGUACGAAUAAGCAUCGGCUAACUCCGUGCCAGCCGCCGCCGUAA
This 503-nucleotide ribosomal RNA is filed under the name uncultured bacterium. RNAcentral's name for it is "partial 16S ribosomal RNA". It matches the Rfam family "Bacterial small subunit ribosomal RNA", at positions 28 to 523 of the family's 1533-position model. The record is from RNAcentral.